Molecule: long non-coding RNA, 220 nt
Filed under: Mytilus galloprovincialis (Mediterranean mussel)
Lineage: Eukaryota; Metazoa; Mollusca; Bivalvia; Mytilida; Mytilidae
Source: RNAcentral
CAUUUUAGGAAUUAGGGGCCAAAAAGGGCCCAAAUAAGCAUUUUCUUGGUUUUCGCACUAUAACUUUAGUUUAAGUAAAUAGAAAUCUAUGAAAUUUUGACACAAGGUUUAUGACCACAAAAGGAAGGUUGGGAUUGAUUUUGGGAGUUUUGGUUCUAACAGUUUAGGAAUUAGGGGCCAAAAAAGGGCCCAAAUAAGCAUUAUUCUUGGUUUUCGCACA